CAGAAUAAGGCCAAAGCCCGGGUGACCGGGUGACGGAAAGCCACGGGUCCGCGAAGCGCGGACGGCCGGGUUGCCUGAG
Molecule: non-coding RNA, 79 nt
Filed under: Deltaproteobacteria bacterium
Lineage: Bacteria; Pseudomonadati; Myxococcota; Myxococcia
Description: c-di-GMP sequence
Rfam family: c-di-GMP-I-UAU riboswitch aptamer
Source: RNAcentral